Long non-coding RNA from Osmerus eperlanus (European smelt), 312 nucleotides. RefSeq lists it as uncharacterized. Lineage: Eukaryota; Metazoa; Chordata; Actinopteri; Osmeriformes; Osmeridae. The record is from RefSeq and is a predicted model, not a curated record. The transcript is spliced from 3 exons.
GCCGCUUUCAAAUAAAAAAGGACCAGGACCAAUGGCUCUCGCCAGCUUCAAUAAAAGUCCCAUUCGUUGCUGCUGGAGCCAUAAAAUGGCUUUGAACAAUGAGGAUGAAACCUCCCAUGUGCUUCAGAACAGCGGGGCACCUAGCAUCAAAAUACCAGCGCAGGUUGAAAGGCGCAAAAUAAGGAGGAUCAAACAGAGGGAGGACACACAGGCUGUUUGAAGAGCCCACCGCCAGCUCCCCUAUGGGUGGGGAAACUGGCAGAUGCUCAAACCACACAGCUCUAUCAAGAGGGGAGGAGUGGCCCCUCUCAU